Molecule: ribosomal RNA, 433 nt
Filed under: uncultured bacterium
Lineage: Bacteria
Description: partial 16S ribosomal RNA
Rfam family: Bacterial small subunit ribosomal RNA
Source: RNAcentral
AGCGAACGCUGGCGGCAGGCCAAACACAUGCAAGUCGAACGGAUCCUUCGGGAUUAGUGGCGGACGGGUGAGUAACACGUGGGAACGUGCCCUUUGGUUCGGAACAACUCAGGGAAACUUGAGCUAAUACCGGAUGUGCCCUUCGGGGGAAAGAUUUAUCGCCAUUGGAGCGGCCCGCGUCUGAUUAGCUAGUUGGUGAGGUAACGGCCCACCAAGGCGACGAUCAGUAGCUGGUCUGAGAGGAUGAUCAGCCACACUGGGACUGAGACACGGCCCAGACUCCUACGGGAGGCAGCAGUGGGGAAUCUUGCGCAAUGGGCGAAAGCCUGACGCAGCCAUGCCGCGUGAAUGAUGAAGGUCUUAGGAUUGUAAAAUUCUUUCAGCGGGGACGAUAAUGACGGUACCCGCAGAAGAAGCUCCGGCUAACUUCGUG